This 432-nucleotide ribosomal RNA is filed under the name uncultured bacterium. RNAcentral's name for it is "partial 16S ribosomal RNA". It matches the Rfam family "Bacterial small subunit ribosomal RNA", at positions 28 to 507 of the family's 1533-position model. The record is from RNAcentral.
GAUGAACGCUGGCGGUAUGCUUAACACAUGCAAGUCGAACGGUCACUUCGGUGAUAGUGGCGGACGGGUGAGUAACGCGUGAGAAUCUGUCUUCAGGUCGGGGACAACAGUUAGAAAUGACUGCUAAUACCGGAUGUGCCUUUGGGUGAAAGAUUUAUUGCCUGAAAAAGAGCUCGCGUCAGAUUAGCUAGUAGGUGGUGUAAGAGACUACCUAGGCUCCGAUCUGUAGCUGGUCUGAGAGGACGAUCAGCCACACUGGAACUGAGACACGGUCCAGACUCCUACGGGAGGCAGCAGUGGGGAAUUUUCCGCAAUGGGCGAAAGCCUGGCGGAGCAAUACCGCGUGAGGGACGAAGGCUUUUGGGUCGUAAACCUCUUUUCUCAAGGAAGAUGAUGACGGUACUUGAGGAAUAAGCAGCGGCUAACUCUGUG